This 209-nucleotide ribosomal RNA is filed under the name uncultured eukaryote. RNAcentral describes it as "partial 18S ribosomal RNA". It matches the Rfam family "Eukaryotic small subunit ribosomal RNA", at positions 604 to 819 of the family's 1831-position model. The record is from RNAcentral.
UUAAAGUUGUUGCAGUUAAAAAGCUCGUAGUUGAACCUUGGGCCUGGCUGGCCGGUCCGCCUCACCGCGUGUACUGGUCCGGCCGGGCCUUUCCUUCUGGGGGGCCGCAUGCCCUUCACUGGGCGUGUCGGGGAACCAGGACUUUUACUUUGAAAAAAUUAGAGUGUUCAAAGCAGGCCUUUGCUCGAAUACAUUAGCAUGGAAUAAUA